This 1101-nucleotide ribosomal RNA is filed under the name Karlodinium digitatum. Its description in RNAcentral is "Karenia digitata partial large subunit ribosomal RNA". It matches the Rfam family "Eukaryotic large subunit ribosomal RNA", at positions 21 to 932 of the family's 3401-position model. Lineage: Eukaryota; Dinophyceae; Gymnodiniales; Kareniaceae. The record is from RNAcentral.
UUACCCGCUGGAAAUUUAAGCAUAUAAGUAAGCUGAGGAGCAAGAAACUAAAAUAGGAUUCCCUCAGUAAUGGCGAAUGAACAGGGAUAAGCUCAGCAUGGAAAUUGGGGCCCUCGGCCUUGAAUUGUAGUCUUGAGAUGGCAUUGCCAGUGGAGGCGCAGAUGUAAGCCUCUUGGAAAAGAGCAUCAAUGAGGGUGAGAGUCCCGUCUGUCAUCUGCAGUCCCCCAUACACGGUGUGCUUUCUAAGAGUCACGUUCCUUGGGAUUGGAGCGCAAAUUGGGUGGUAAAUUUCAUCUAAAGCUAAAUAUUGGUUCGAGACCGAUAGCAAACAAGUACCAUGAGGGAAAGGUGAAAAGGACUUUGAAAAGAGAGUUAAAAGUGCCUGAAAUUGCUGAAAGGGAAGCGAAUGGAACCAGUCUUCUUGGCGAGAUUGUUGCGCGCUAUUGUGAUUGCUCGCUGCUUCAACGCAAGUGUUGCAGUGGGUUUUGAGCAUGACGUGCGCUUUGUUUCUUGCCUCGUGUGUCAACGUCGGUUCGGACUUGAGGAAAACUCCAGGGACAUGGUAAAUCGCUCGCGGGUGAUUGAACGUGCCUGGCAGAACUCAUUUCUUAACUGAUCUCUGCAUGUCUGGUCGCAGUGCUCUCACUGCCUGCGCUCGCUGCCUCGGGUCGGGCCUCGGCUCUUCCUCGUCGCUUCGUGCCUGGUCGUGUGGCAUCUCCCUGACAUAAGUACGAUGACAAAAUGGUUUUAUUCGACCCGUCUUGAAACACGGACCAAGGAGUCUAACAUAUGUGCAAGUUCACGGGUGUUAAACCUGAUUGCGCAAUGAAAGUGACUGCUGGGAUAUUUGCACCAGCAACCGACCCAAUCAAUUGUGAGAGGUUUGAGUAUGAGCAUAUCUGUUAGGACCCGAAAGAUGGUGAACUAUGCCUGAGAAGGGUGAAGUCAGGGGAAACUCUGAUGGAGGCUCGUGGCGAUACUUGACGUGCAAAUCGUUCGUACAAGUCGAUCGUUACGAGUCUCCUUCAAAUUUUCCUCUGACUUACACCUUUUUCAGGAUAUUUCACCAUCUUUCGGGCCCUAACACAUAUGUCAAUCUCU